CGGAGGGUGCGAGCGUUGUUCGGAAUCACUGGGCGUAAAGGGCGUGUAGGCGGUCCGCUAAGUCUGAUGUGAAAGCCCGGGGCUCACCCCCGGAAGGGCAUUGGAAACUGGCGGACUCGAGUCCCGGAGAGGAAGGUGGAAUUCCUGGUGUAGCGGUGAAAUGCGUAGAUAUCAGGAGGAACACCGGUGGCGAAGGCGGGUCUCUGGGCAGUAACUGACGCUGAGGAGCGAAAGCGUGGGGAGCGAACAGG
Molecule: ribosomal RNA, 251 nt
Filed under: uncultured bacterium
Lineage: Bacteria
Description: partial 16S ribosomal RNA
Rfam family: Bacterial small subunit ribosomal RNA
Source: RNAcentral